CUUACCGGAGGCUUCAUGGAUCCCGAUCCCACACCUCUCCUGAACGGGAGAAUGCGUUCUUUCCGGUAAGCCAGCUUUUGCUGUCUCACCGGCGUGAGGCAGCAACGUCU
Molecule: non-coding RNA, 110 nt
Filed under: Enterobacter cloacae
Lineage: Bacteria; Pseudomonadati; Pseudomonadota; Gammaproteobacteria; Enterobacterales; Enterobacteriaceae
Also listed under: 1 other name
Description: Magnesium Sensor
Rfam family: Magnesium riboswitch aptamer (Magnesium responsive RNA element)
About the family: The Magnesium sensor RNA element is a cis-regulatory element that regulates the expression of the magnesium transporter protein MgtA. It is located in the 5' UTR of this gene.
Source: RNAcentral